RNA transcript from Panicum virgatum (switchgrass), 1201 nucleotides. It is a transcript of the gene named bidirectional sugar transporter SWEET17-like, with no coding region annotated. The record is from RefSeq and is a predicted model, not a curated record. NCBI's taxonomy places the organism in Eukaryota, Viridiplantae, Streptophyta, Magnoliopsida, Poales, Poaceae. The transcript is spliced from 6 exons.
CUCUCUCUCUCUCUCUCUCUCUCUCUCUCUCUCUCUCUCUCUCUCUCUGCCCCCCCCCCCCCCCCCCCCCCCACCAUAUAGCAGGGCAGCCGCAGAGGACACGAACUAGAUCGUCGUACCUCCUGCUUGAUUGGAUCCAGCAUUUUGGUAGUCGCGUGCUUGGUUCUCCUUUGAGCCUGUGGCGUGGCUACGCGACCCCUCUGUCUGCCUAUCAGCCAGCUUCCAUGGAUUCCACCCUCUUCAUCAUCGGAAUCAUAGGCAACAUCAUCUCAGUUCUAGUCUUCAUAUCUCCUAUCAAGACCUUCUGGAGGAUCGUGAGGAGCGGGUCGACGGAGGACUUCGAGCCGGCGCCGUACGUGUUCACGCUGCUCAACGCGCUGCUGUGGCUCUACUACGGCCUCACCAAGCCCGACGGCCUCCUCGUCGCCACCGUCAACGGCUUUGGGGCCGUCAUGGAGGCCAUCUACGUCGUCCUCUUCGUCGUCUACGCCGCCGAUCACGCCACAAGGAUUAAGGCUGCAAAGCUGGCGACAGCGUUGGACAUUGGUGGCUUUGGAGUUGUGUUUGCAGCCACCACAUUCGCCAUCCGUGAAUUGGACUUGAGAAUCAUGGUGAUCGGAAUGAUAUGUGCCUGCCUCAAUGUGCUCAUGUACGGCUCUCCCCUUGCUGCCAUGAAAACGGUGAUCACCACCAAGAGCGUGGAGUUCAUGCCCUUCUUCCUCUCCUUCUUCCUCUUCCUCAACGGAGGCAUCUGGGCAACGUACGCCGUGCUUGACCGAGACAUCUUUCUCGGGAUCCCCAAUGGGAUAGGCUUCGUCCUUGGCAGCAUCCAGCUGAUCAUCUACGCGAUCUACAUGAACAGCAAGGCCUCCCAGAGCAGCAAAGAAACAGCGGAAGAUGCGGCUCCUCUUCUAGCCUCAAACGCUUGAUACAGGCAGGAGAAGCAUCUAGCCAUGUUUGAUGCGCGGCGUGCUGGAGUAGAAGCUGGUCUUAAAAACUGUCAAACUUCACAAGUGUGCCUACCACUAUCCUAGUGAUUAGUGAUUAUUCAUUGUUCAUUAAGCGUGUAAAGUUUCUUUGGUGAAUGCUAUUUUUCUUUGUAAGCUUCGAUGAUGCCCCCAUUGGUCCAAUUACAUUUUACUAUUGUCGAUUCUUAGCAGAGAAAAUUCGUCAUAGAAGGGCAAUAAUGUCCAUGAAGAAA